RNAcentral lists this ribosomal RNA (471 nucleotides) under uncultured bacterium. RNAcentral's name for it is "bacterial SSU rRNA". It matches the Rfam family "Bacterial small subunit ribosomal RNA", at positions 355 to 825 of the family's 1533-position model. The record is from RNAcentral.
UGGGGAAUAUUGGACAAUGGGCGAAAGCCUGAUCCAGCCAUGCCGCGUGUGUGAAGAAGGUCUUAGGAUCGUAAAGCACUUUAAGUUGGGAGGAAGGGCAGUAAAUUAAUACUUUGCUGUUUUGACGUUACCGACAGAAUAAGCACCGGCUAACUCUGUGCCAGCAGCCGCGGUAAUACAGAGGGUGCAAGCGUUAAUCGGAAUUACUGGGCGUAAAGCGCGCGUAGGUGGUUCGUUAAGUUGGAUGUGAAAUCCCCGGGCUCAACCUGGGAACUGCAUUCAAAACUGUCGAGCUAGAGUAUGGUAGAGGGUGGUGGAAUUUCCUGUGUAGCGGUGAAAUGCGUAGAUAUAGGAAGGAACACCAGUGGCGAAGGCGACCACCUGGACUGAUACUGACACUGAGUGCGAAAGCGUGGGGAGCAAACAGGAUUAGAUACCCACGUAGUCCCUGAGCGGGCUGGCAAGGCGCAU